GAUGAACGCUGGCGGCGUGCCUAAUACAUGCAAGUCGAACGCUGAAGGAGGAGCUUGCUCUUCUGGAUGAGUUGCGAACGGGUGAGUAACGCGUAGGUAACCUGCCUGGUAGCGGGGGAUAACUAUUGGAAACGAUAGCUAAUACCGCAUGACAACAGUUAUUGCAUGAUAACUGUUUAAAAGGGGCAACUGCUCCACUACCAGAUGGACCUGCGUUGUAUUAGCUAGUUGGUGAGGUAACGGCUCACCAAGGCGACGAUACAUAGCCGACCUGAGAGGGGGAUCGGCCACACUGGGACUGAGACACGGCCCAGACUCCUACGGGAGGCAGCAGUAGGGAAUCUUCGGCAAUGGACGGAAGUCUGACCGAGCAACGCCGCGUGAGUGAAGAAGGUUUUCGGAUCGUAAAGCUCUGUUGUAAGAGAAGAACGAGUGUGAGAGUGGAAAGUUCACACUGUGACGGUAGCUUACCAGAAAGGGACGGCUAACUACGUG
Molecule: ribosomal RNA, 495 nt
Filed under: uncultured bacterium
Lineage: Bacteria
Description: partial 16S ribosomal RNA
Rfam family: Bacterial small subunit ribosomal RNA
Source: RNAcentral